This 253-nucleotide ribosomal RNA is filed under the name uncultured bacterium. RNAcentral describes it as "partial 16S ribosomal RNA". It matches the Rfam family "Bacterial small subunit ribosomal RNA", at positions 524 to 776 of the family's 1533-position model. The record is from RNAcentral.
UACGUAGGGUGCAAGCGUUAAUCGGAAUUACUGGGCGUAAAGCGUGCGCAGGCGGUUUUGUAAGUCUGUCGUGAAAUCCCCGGGCUCAACCUGGGAAUUGCGAUGGAGACUGCAAGGCUAGAAUCUGGCAGAGGGGGGUAGAAUUCCACGUGUAGCAGUGAAAUGCGUAGAGAUGUGGAGGAACACCGAUGGCGAAGGCAGUCCCCUGGGCCUGUACUGACGCUCAUGCACGAAAGCGUGGGGAGCAAACAGG